GACGAACGCUGGCGGCGUGCUUAACACAUGCAAGUCGAACGGUGAAGCGCCUUCCUUUUUGGUGGGUGUGGAUGAGUGGCGAACGGGUGAGUAACACGUGAGUAACCUGCCCCCUUCUUCUGGAUAACCGCAUGAAAGUGUGGCUAAUACGGGAUAUUCUGGGUCUGUCGCAUGAUGGGUCUGGGAAAGAUAUUGUUUCGGUGGGGGAUGGGCUCGCGGCCUAUCAGCUUGUUGGUGGGGUGAUGGCCUACCAAGGCGGUGACGGGUAGCCGGCCCGAGAGGGUGGACGGUCACACUGGGACUGAGACACGGCCCAGACUCCUACGGGAGGCAGCAGUGGGGAAUAUUGCACAAUGGGCGCAAGCCUGAUGCAGCGACGCCGCGUGAGGGAUGGAGGCCUUCGGGUUGUGAACCUCUUUCGCCAGUGAAGCAGGCCUGCCUCGUUUGUGGGUGGGUUGACGGUAGCUGGAGAAGAAGCGCCGGCUAACUACGUG
This 494-nucleotide ribosomal RNA is filed under the name uncultured bacterium. RNAcentral's name for it is "partial 16S ribosomal RNA". It matches the Rfam family "Bacterial small subunit ribosomal RNA", at positions 28 to 507 of the family's 1533-position model. The record is from RNAcentral.